Vitis vinifera (wine grape) is the source of this 73-nucleotide transfer RNA. It matches the Rfam family "tRNA". Rfam says of the family: Transfer RNA (tRNA) molecules are approximately 80 nucleotides in length. Their secondary structure includes four short double-helical elements and three loops (D, anti-codon, and T loops). The record is from Rfam. NCBI's taxonomy places the organism in Eukaryota, Viridiplantae, Streptophyta, Magnoliopsida, Vitales, Vitaceae.
GCCUAUCUAGCUAUGUCAGUAAAGCGCAAGGCUCUUAACCUUGUGGUCAUGGGUUCGAGCCCCACGAUGGGCG